Molecule: ribosomal RNA, 331 nt
Filed under: uncultured eukaryote
Lineage: Eukaryota
Description: partial 18S ribosomal RNA
Rfam family: Eukaryotic small subunit ribosomal RNA
Source: RNAcentral
CCCUUAGAUGUUCUGGGCCGCACGCGCGCUACACUGUUCGACGCAGCGAGUCUUAACCUUGACCGAAAGGUUUGGGUAAUCUUCAGCAAAGUCGAACGUGAUGGGGAUCGAUCAUUGCAAUUAUUGAUCGUGAACGAGGAAUUCCUAGUAAGUGCAAGUCAUCAGCUUGCGCUGAUUACGUCCCUGCCCUUUGUACACACCGCCCGUCGCUACUACCGAUUGAAUGGUUUAGUGAGAUCUCUGGAUUGACGCUGGCUAGGGGGCGACCCUUGGCCAGACUGUUGAGAAAGUGCUCAAACUUGAUCAUUUAGAGGAAGUAAAAGUCGUAACA